RNAcentral lists this ribosomal RNA (468 nucleotides) under uncultured bacterium. RNAcentral describes it as "partial 16S ribosomal RNA". It matches the Rfam family "Bacterial small subunit ribosomal RNA", at positions 28 to 507 of the family's 1533-position model. The record is from RNAcentral.
GACGAACGCUGGCGGCGUGCUUAACACAUGCAAGUCGAACGGAAAGGCCCUGCUUUUGUGGGGUGCUCGAGUGGCGAACGGGUGAGUAACACGUGAGUAACCUGCCCUUGACUUUGGGAUAACUUCAGGAAACUGGGGCUAAUACCGGAUAGGAGCUCCUGCUGCAUGGUGGGGGUUGGAAAGUUUCGGCGGUUGGGGAUGGACUCGCGGCUUAUCAGCUUGUUGGUGGGGUAGUGGCUUACCAAGGCUUUGACGGGUAGCCGGCCUGAGAGGGUGACCGGCCACAUUGGGACUGAGAUACGGCCCAGACUCCUAUGGGAGGCAGCAGUGGGGAAUAUUGCACAAUGGGCGGAAGCCUGAUGCAGCAACGCCGCGUGCGGGAUGACGGCCUUCGGGUUGUAAACCGCUUCCGCCUGUGACGAAGCGUGAGUGACGGUAAUGGGUAAAGAAGCACCGGCUAACUACGUG